RNAcentral lists this ribosomal RNA (315 nucleotides) under uncultured bacterium. RNAcentral's name for it is "partial 16S ribosomal RNA". The record is from RNAcentral.
UUGGUGGGCCAUUACCCCGCCAACUAGCUGAUAGGCCGCGAGACCAUCUCGAAGCGACCGCUUGCAAGCAGAGGCGGUCUUUAACAACUGUCCCCAUGCGGGGCCGCUGCAUCAUGCGGAAUUAGCCCAGAUUUCUCUGGGUUAUUCCCCACUCCGAGGCAGGUUCCUCACGUGUUACGCUCCCGUUCGCCACUCUACUCGGGGUCCCCAGCAAGCUGGUUUCCCCUUUCGCGUACGACUUGCAUGUGUAAGGCACGCCGCCAACGUUCGUCCUGAGCCAGGAUCAAACUCUAAUCUAGAUGCAUCGCAGUUACC